GCAAGUCGAACGAGACCUUCGGGUCUAGUGGCGCACGGGUGCGUAACGCGUGGGAACCUGCCCAAAGGUGCGGAAUAACUAAGGGAAACUUGAGCUAAUACCGCAUGAUGCCUAAAGGCCAAAGAUUUAUCGCCUUUGGAUGAGCCCGCGUCGGAUUAGCUUGUUGGUGGGGUAAUGGCCCACCAAGGCGACGAUGCGUAGCUGGUUUGAGAGGAUGAUC
RNAcentral lists this ribosomal RNA (220 nucleotides) under uncultured bacterium. RNAcentral describes it as "partial 16S ribosomal RNA". It matches the Rfam family "Bacterial small subunit ribosomal RNA", at positions 57 to 305 of the family's 1533-position model. The record is from RNAcentral.